GAUGAACGCUGACAGAAUGCUUAACACAUGCAAGUCAACUUGAACUUCAGUUUGGGUGGCGGACGGGUGAGUAACGCGUAAAGAACUUACCUCACAGAUUGGGACAACAUUUGGAAACGAAUGCUAAUACCUAAUAUUAUGAUUUUAGGGCAUCCUAGGAUUAUGAAAGCUAUAUACGCUGUGAGAGAGCUUUGCGUCCCAUUAGCUAGUUGGAGAGGUAACGGCUCACCAAGGCGAUGAUGGGUAGCCGGCCUGAGAGGGUGAUCGGCCACAAGGGGACUGAGACACGGCCCUUACUCCUACGGGAGGCAGCAGUGGGGAAUAUUGGACAAUGGACCAAGAGUCUGAUCCAGCAAUUCUGUGUGCACGAUGAAGUUUUUCGGAAUGUAAAGUGCUUUCAGUUGGGAAGAAAAAAAUGACGGUACCAACAGAAGAAGUGACGGCUAAAUACGUGCCAGCAGCCGCGGUAAUACGUAUGUCACAAGCGUUAUCCGGAUUUAUUGGGCGUAAAGCGCGUCUAGGUGGUUAUAUAAGUCUGAUGUGAAAAUGCACGGCUCAACUCUGUAUUGCGUUGGAAACUGUGUAACUAGAGUACUGGAGAGGUAAGCGGAACUACAAGUGUAGAGGUGAAAUUCGUAGAUAUUUGUAGGAAUGCCGAUGGGGAAGCCAGCUUACUGGACAGAUACUGACGCUGAAGCGCGAAAGCGUGGGUAGCAAACAGGAUUAUAUACCCUGGUAGUCCAAGGGCGAAUUCCACACUGGAUAUCACGCUUAUCGAUACCGUCGACCUCGAGGGGGGGCCCAGGUACCCAGUUUUCUUCCCUGUAUGAAGGGGUUAAUUAGCUUUGUUCCCUUUAUGAGGGGUUAAUUAGGG
This 874-nucleotide ribosomal RNA is filed under the name uncultured Fusobacterium sp. RNAcentral's name for it is "bacterial SSU rRNA". It matches the Rfam family "Bacterial small subunit ribosomal RNA". Lineage: Bacteria; Fusobacteriati; Fusobacteriota; Fusobacteriia; Fusobacteriales; Fusobacteriaceae. The record is from RNAcentral.